AGAGUUUGAUCCUGGCUCAGGACAAACGCUGGCGGCGUGCCUAACACAUGCAAGUCGAACGGACCCUUCGGGGUCAGUGGCAGACGGGUGAGUAACACGUAGGUAAUGUACCUUCUCGCUGGGGAUACCUACCCGAAAGGGUGGUUAAUACCGAAUGGUCUCAUACUGCGGCAUCGCGGUGUGAGUAAAGUGUUUAGCGCGGGAGGAUCAGCCUGCGGGCCAUCAGCUGGUUGGUGGGGUAACGGCCUACCAAGGCAUCGACGGUUAGCCGGUCUGAGAGGAUGAUCGGCCACACUGGAACUGAGACACGGUCCAGACUCCUACGGGAGGCAGCAGUGAGGAAUAUUGCGCAAUGGGCGGAAGCCUGACGCAGCGACGCCGCGUGAGGGAUGAAGGUUUUCGGAUCGUAAACCUCUGUUAAGCAGGGAAGAGAACGGACGGUACCUGCUGAGGAAGCAUCGGCUUACUACGUGCCAGCAGCCGCGGUAAUACGUAGGAUGCGAGCGUUGUCCGGAUUUACUGGGCGUAAAGAGCUUGUAGGCGGGAAUGCACGUCUUGGAUGAAAUUGCACGGCUUAACCGUGCAGCUAUUUGAGAUACGGUAUUUCUUGAGGGCAGAAGAGGAGAACGGAAUUCCCAGUGUAGCGGUGAAAUGCGUAGAUAUUGGGAAGAACACCGGCGGCGAAGGCGGUUCUCUGGUCUGUCACUGACGCUAAAGAGCGAAGGCGUGGGUAGCGAACGGGAUUAGAUACCCCGGUAGUCCACGCGGUAAACGAUGGAUACUAAGUGUAUGGAGUAUUGGCCCUCUUAUGUGCCGCAGCUAACGCA
This 827-nucleotide ribosomal RNA is filed under the name uncultured bacterium. Its description in RNAcentral is "bacterial SSU rRNA". It matches the Rfam family "Bacterial small subunit ribosomal RNA", at positions 8 to 859 of the family's 1533-position model. The record is from RNAcentral.